RNAcentral lists this ribosomal RNA (502 nucleotides) under uncultured bacterium. RNAcentral's name for it is "partial 16S ribosomal RNA". It matches the Rfam family "Bacterial small subunit ribosomal RNA", at positions 30 to 523 of the family's 1533-position model. The record is from RNAcentral.
AUUGAACGCUGGCGGCGUGCUUAACACAUGCAAGUCGAGCGGUAACAGGCGUAGCAAUACGUGCUGACGAGCGGCGAACGGGUGCGUAAUACAUGGGAAUCUGCCCUUUGGUGGUGAAUAACCCGGCGAAAGCCGGGCUAAUGCCGCAUAAGAUCUUCGGAUGAAAGCGGGGGAUCGUAAGACCUCGCGCCGAUGGAUGAGCCCAUGUCGGAUUAGCUAGUUGGUGAGGUAACGGCUCACCAAGGCGACGAUCCGUAGCUGGUCUGAGAGGACGGCCAGCCACACUGGAACUGAGACACGGCCCAGACUCCUACGGGAGGCAGCAGUGGGGAAUAUUGGACAAUGGGCGAAAGCCUGAUCCAGCGACGCCGCGUGUGUGAAGAAGGACUGCGGGUUGUAAAGCACUUUCGAUGGGAACGAAAUGUGUCGGGCUAAUACCCCGGCAAGCUGACGUUACUCAAUGAAGAAGCACCGGCUAACUCUGUGCCAGCAGCCGCCGUAA